AAAAAAUGUUUUAAGAGCCUAUUUAUAGAGUUAAGGUUGCCGUUGCCCUCAACCCUAGGUUAGUUGACAUUCUUGUGUUUAAUUUCCAUUGUAUGGAUCAAAAUGGCCCUGGUUCGUAAAUGCUUCCUGUACAAGGUUGAUGCGGCGGCAAUCGACGCCUAGCCACUUUACCCAGCAGCCAACUCACGCGCCAACCUCUGUCAAAAGAGUAAACCUAAGGAGCAAAAAAGAAGGAGCAUGGUGGAGUGGCAUGAUGGACGUUGGAUGAAUUUAUAUAGACAACCGAGAGAUAAGACAUCAGUGUACAGAAUUACGGAGCUGACGGAUGAAUCUUGAAGCCAUACUUGAUGAACCAAUAGAUAAUAUAUUUAUUAUGUUGUAAUUUGUUGUAAUUUAAUUAUUGAUAAUUUGAACAAUAUUGAUUAAAUAGGAGUAGGAUAUAAAUUAGGACUACGUAUAUAGAUUAGAAUUAAAUUAUAUUAGAAUUAUCAGAAA
Molecule: long non-coding RNA, 495 nt
Organism: Gossypium arboreum
Lineage: Eukaryota; Viridiplantae; Streptophyta; Magnoliopsida; Malvales; Malvaceae
Exons: 2
Source: RefSeq, a predicted model, not a curated record